CCAAAAUGGCACGCGACGUUUUGUCUCUCCAUGCCCCUGAGUUGAAGAUUCUAAAGAAAAGAGAACGCUCACUUUUUUUGGAAACGUGUACGUGACUGGCUGACUGCAAUAAAAAUUGGGCGACAAAACAAAUUUCUAACUUGUGGUCGUCUUGUGAAUUCCAUGCUAUUUGACAGAUUUGAGACCUGAGCCACCCAUCGAAACUACAAGUUGUGCAAGUUUAACUUCUGCUAGUAUUGACCUGCCAUCAGCAAUAACUAUCCCGGCAUCAUCAUCUUUGAUAAACAGAACCCCAAUUGGAGACUGUUGCCCGAGUUACGAAUUUUUUUUCUCCUUUUCUUUGAAUUGUCCUCGUGUACAUCCAUGUGAGUGUGGGUGUAUUCACGAGGACGCCCUUUUUACCUAUUCCGCCUGCUGCUGGUGGAUUCAACUUUUUCUGCGGAUGGAUUGAGCAUUCGUGGUUACCUGGCUGUACUGUCCCAGGCUUAAAGCUACAUGAAUUAAGUGACUGCUAAUGAGUAUGGAAGGCCCUGUAAACCAGGUGCAUAACUGAAGAAAAAGUCAUUGAAGAAUACCCCAUCAAUGCCAAUUUUGUUUGUCGACAAGCUGUGCCUGGAGAGUCAAGACCGAGCUCUUGCUUGCUAUUUCAUGUUCUGUAUGGCCUGCAUAACUGCCGAGAAUCUUGGGUGAACCAGAUGACUCAUCUGGUUAUUCAUUUGUUAAAAAUUUAGAUUGGGCAAGAAUGAAAGUUCAACUUUCAGCAGCAUAUAGAAAACAAGCCUGAACCUGAUGUGAACAUUCUGUGCCAGCCACAUCUACCCAUCUAAAUUGCCACAAUGUUUUAACUGUAAAAGCAAGAAUUCCAGAAAAGUAUUGGUCUGCUGUAAUGGAAGAUGUAGUUCCUUGCCAAGAUGGAAUUUUAAAAAAGCUUUAUCAAGAGCUAUUCAAUCUGAGGCAAAUGGCUCCCACAAUACAGUUGACAAGCAACAACCAGUCCUGUUUGGAAUUUGACGAAGAAGUUUGGUCGUCACUCGUCAAAGUUGAGAAAGAAGAAGACCGGAGCCUGAUAAGAACCUGUCUGCUGAUGCAAUUAAAACAAAGAUGGACAAUUAAUGGAAACUGAAGAAAUGUUAAAAGAUAGUGGCGUUCAACUGAUAGCGUUCAAUAUCUACAGCUACACCAACUGCAAACGGGACUUAUUCCAGAAAAAAUCUCCGAAACUCUGGGACUAUUGUGUCUCGCAUGUAUGUUGACCUACGCGUUAUAGUUCUGGUGGAGUCACUGUUAAGAAGGAAAGCUGUGGUACCUACAUUUAAUGUGUGCAUGGAAGGCCGACACAAGACUUCAUUCAGUCAACCAACAUGCGAGCAAUCCAGGUCUGGCACGAGUCACUUCCCCACAUCCGACUUAAACGACAGUCGGCAGUUGAACGUGAAGAACGAAAGAAGAUGGAUAAGGGAAGGGCUGUAAACUCGGAACAGGAGAUAUAUUGACAACGUACCAUACCUUCCCAUACACGGAAGGUCUAAACUCUAAAGCAUCACAUCUGGAAAGGCAAAGGAGGAGAAUUUCGUCCUUAAUGUUAAUGGAGUUGGCGCCAGUUGUUUACUCGCCUUUUGCGUCGUCUUUAUCUCAGGUAAUGCAGAUUAAUAGCUGGAACCUGACAAAUCGUCACUCACAGUCGAAAGAGCCUGGAAUCUCGGUACGAUAAAUGUGAUCCUUCUGGUGACGUCAAAUGCUACAAAAUCCCAGUAUCGGAUCCAUCUACGUUUUUGUAUUUGUGCGGGCGUGAGCAACCCUGGCCGUCGUGCACAUCCGGGUGCAUAUUCUAAAAAACAAACUACAUUUAGUGCUCGAUCUUCGCCUCAGCUGAUCCUGGAAACCGAAAAGUAACUGACAGUUGACGACAUGGAUCCGUGUUCUAUCAACCGCACAUUUUCGCGCACGUUAUUAUUCUUUCGAGUGUGGUGGUGGCAGUUGUUGCAUUCCCAGGUCUCCUCGUGGAAGAGGAGGUAGUUCAACAGCAUAUCGUAUCAUCCAACAUACCAAAGGUCUUCUCCAAAUCUGGAUACAAGAUGAAGAAAUUAGCCCUCACUGUCAGUUUGGAGUUUGAGCUAAUUUGCUGCAAGCCCUUUUUGUGACGUUUUCUAUGUCAAGCAAUGCAUGAUUGCAUGUUAAUAUCUGGACCUUGAGCAAUUGUCACUCACACUUGAGAUUUCUUAGAACAGGCCAGUGAAUUCUGAUCUUCUUUGUGUCAUUUCAAUGUGUUAUGUGCAAAUGGGUUUGUUGCAACCAGCCGGUGAUAGGUGUUCUUCUUGCUACCUGUACCAGCCGAAUGUUUCAUGUCAUACAAAAACACUUCUUGGAAUGAAUGACACACUUCAGAAAAUUAAAGAUUAACAGCUUGGUGAAUUCUGAGCUUCUUCGUUGCUGCCCGAUGUUCACAUGGAUUUGACAUAGACAUAGGUGGCAGGUUUAUGUUCCGUGCUGCCCGAUGUGGCAAGUUGUUGCAGCCUAUGCUGGUGAAAGAUCUGUCUUCAUCAAGUUCAACUGGUCGUUCCUUCGUGCUGGUGUCGUGUUACCGAAGUUGCAUCAUUAUUUUGUGGAAUUGUCAUCGUGACUGCAGUUUACCGUUUAUAAGUUAGGAAGUAACAAAAACAAAUAUGUGAUGUACGUCAAACAAAUAAUCAUGUUUUCGUGAUUGGGAAAGGAAAGUGGAUGGAGGGGGUCAAGUUUGGAAAAAAAUCAGUUAAUCUAUAACCCUACAAGCAUAUUCCUACCAAUUAAUCUCCAAACCCCACAAACUUAUACCUUCAAAUUCAUCUAACCUCACAAACAAACUCCUACCAACCCUCAAAUUUAUACCUUAAGCCCCAUAAACCAAUAUUAACCUAAAAUUAAAAAAAAAUAAAUACAU
Molecule: long non-coding RNA, 2917 nt
Filed under: Daphnia pulicaria
Lineage: Eukaryota; Metazoa; Arthropoda; Branchiopoda; Diplostraca; Daphniidae
Description: uncharacterized LOC124314923, transcript variant X3
Source: RNAcentral